RNAcentral lists this ribosomal RNA (465 nucleotides) under Vreelandella stevensii. RNAcentral describes it as "partial 16S ribosomal RNA". It matches the Rfam family "Bacterial small subunit ribosomal RNA", at positions 338 to 795 of the family's 1533-position model. The record is from RNAcentral. Lineage: Bacteria; Pseudomonadati; Pseudomonadota; Gammaproteobacteria; Oceanospirillales; Halomonadaceae.
CCUACGGGAGGCAGCAGUGGGGAAUAUUGGACAAUGGGCGAAAGCCUGAUCCAGCCAUGCCGCGUGUGUGAAGAAUGCCUUCGGGUUGUAAAGCACUUUCAGUGGGGAAGAAAGCCUUGGGGCUAAUACCCUCGAGGAAGGACAUCACCCACAGAAGAAGCACCGGCUAACUCCGUGCCAGCAGCCGCGGUAAUACGGAGGGUGCGAGCGUUAAUCGGAAUUACUGGGCGUAAAGCGCGCGUAGGCGGUCUGAUAAGCCGGUUGUGAAAGCCCCGGGCUCAACCUGGGAACGGCAUCCGGAACUGUCAGGCUAGAGUGCAGGAGAGGAAGGUAGAAUUCCCGGUGUAGCGGUGAAAUGCGUAGAGAUCGGGAGGAAUACCAGUGGCGAAGGCGGCCUUCUGGACUGACACUGACGCUGAGGUGCGAAAGCGUGGGUAGCAAACAGGAUUAGAUACCCCUGUAGUC